This 648-nucleotide long non-coding RNA is filed under the name Homo sapiens (human). RNAcentral's name for it is "HSALNT0371061". Lineage: Eukaryota; Metazoa; Chordata; Mammalia; Primates; Hominidae. The record is from RNAcentral.
GCUUCCCCAGGCACUCUCCCGGCGGCGGCAGCUGCGCCGCCAAAGCCCCGGGCCCCAGCGGCCCCCCACCCCUCACUCGCGCGCUCCCACACUGCCUCCCCCUCCCCGGGGGAAGGCCUUUUAAUUUAUUUAUUUUUCUGGGACUGGGGUGGGGGUCUUGGCUGGCGGGGGAGGGGGUCUCCCCGGGCUCUACCUCCCGCGGCCGGGACUACCCUCAGAGCCGCGACCGCCGCGGCGUGCGUCCCGGGCCUGCAAAACUGUUUCCAAACUGCCCGGGCCGGAGGCGGGCGCGCGGGGCCCGGGGAGAUGGCUGGGGUCUGGGGGGCCGAGGGUGUGUGUGGACGCUGGGAGCCGCGGGGGGAGGCCGGCGUCGACUCAGAGGAGUUGCAAUCGAGGUCCGGGAGUGGCGGCGGCCAAUCAGCGCGCGGCUUCCAUUUUAGCAGUAAACAGUCCUCAGCGAAGCCGCCUUUUUGCCUACCCAACCCUGGAAAGUUUGCAGAAGUGGAAGGAGCAGAACGUGAGGGUGUAACUUACAAAAAGGUUCUGGGCCGGAGAAGGGGCGACGUUCGGGCACCCCCCGAAUGGACAAUCUUUCCUUCUGUCAACGGCAGGGGCAGGCCUAGUUUGACUCUGACAGUCCUCCCACUA